This 465-nucleotide ribosomal RNA is filed under the name Vreelandella stevensii. RNAcentral's name for it is "partial 16S ribosomal RNA". It matches the Rfam family "Bacterial small subunit ribosomal RNA", at positions 338 to 795 of the family's 1533-position model. Lineage: Bacteria; Pseudomonadati; Pseudomonadota; Gammaproteobacteria; Oceanospirillales; Halomonadaceae. The record is from RNAcentral.
CCUACGGGUGGCAGCAGUGGGGAAUAUUGGACAAUGGGCGAAAGCCUGAUCCAGCCAUGCCGCGUGUGUGAAGAAGGCCUUCGGGUUGUAAAGCACUUUCAGUGGGGAAGAAAGCCUUGGGGCUAAUACCCUCGAGGAAGGACAUCACCCACAGAAGAAGCACCGGCUAACUCCGUGCCAGCAGCCGCGGUAAUACGGAGGGUGCGAGCGUUAAUCGGAAUUACUGGGCGUAAAGCGCGCGUAGGCGGUCUGAUAAGCCGGUUGUGAAAGCCCCGGGCUCAACCUGGGAACGGCAUCCGGAACUGUCAGGCUAGAGUGCAGGAGAGGAAGGUAGAAUUCCCGGUGGAGCGGUGAAAUGCGUAGAGAUCGGGAGGAAUACCAGUGGCGAAGGCGGCCUUCUGGACUGACACUGACGCUGAGGUGCGAAAGCGUGGGUAGCAAACAGGAUUAGAUACCCUUGUAGUC